Long non-coding RNA from Drosophila nasuta, 1224 nucleotides. RefSeq lists it as uncharacterized. NCBI's taxonomy places the organism in Eukaryota, Metazoa, Arthropoda, Insecta, Diptera, Drosophilidae. The record is from RefSeq and is a predicted model, not a curated record. The transcript has 4 exons.
CGAUUGUAUAGUCUAGAUGUAUAGUCUAGAGAGUGCAGAGCUCAGAUUCAGUUCAAAUAAAACUACUUAAGUAAAAUGCUCCUCAAUUUCUCAAUUCUUCCCGGACAAACAUCAUCCAGUUGAAUCGAACCCUAAUCCGAAUCGAAUGACUAAAGAUAAUAGUCGCCCAUAAGAAGAAUGAACUGAAGAUGUUGCUGCUGUCAUAAAUGACUAUGAGCAUCGUCGAUUAGAAGAAUGUACUGAAGAUGACUAUUCGUUUCUUACUUCCGUCGAACUGGGGUCACACUAUAAAUCAGCAUUUCGGCUAUGAUGGCGAUUGCAAACGCUUUCAGCUCUCGUGGAUCGGUGUUAGUGUCGGAAUUCAGGCCAGCGGCUGCGAAAGCCGCCCUGAUGACACGAUGAUGUACCGCUGAAUGCCCAUGGUGCCCUGCAUCUGGAGUAUGAUUUCGUUUCUUCUAAAUUAUUGAGCUAAUUAUUCCAAAGGUAUCUGAGUUAUUGUACAUUAUUAUUUAAGCUUCAUUUCGAGUUGUCAUUGAAUCUAGAUCUAAAUUACAACUCGAUAUGAAGUUUAAAUAAUAUUGUAAAAUAACUCAGAUACCUUUGCAAACAUAAUCUUAGUAAGGUUAUCUAGACGAUUGUAUAGUCUAGAGAGUCCAGAGCUCAGAGUCAGUUCAAAUAAACUAUUUAACUAAAAUGCUCGUCAAUUUCUCAAUUCUUCCCGGACAAGCAUCAUCCAGUUGAAUCGAACCCUAAUCCGAAUCAGCAUCAAUAGAACCCAUAAAUUGGUUUCUCAUGGAGUCUUUUCGUAAAGAGUCGGGAAAAGACACUUAUUUGCAGACAACGAGAAACGGUCAACAGUUAUUUGCGAGCUCUGAUUUUGAUUUGAAUAAAAAUUGAGCUUAAUCAGAAAGAUUGAUUUCAGAGCUAUUCUUCGAGCUGUAAUCUGUUAGAUCAGAUGCUUACCAAGCCUGUGCCGUCGCGCUUUUAAUUCUAGCCCAAGCCUCAUCAGAGCUCUGGGAGAAUGGUCAGCUUUUAAAUCGCGUAUAAGUUUUCUUAAAAUUUUGUGAACUCCAGAUGGUAGAUUUGGCAUUGUUCUUAACAUGAAUUGGCAAGCAUCGAAAAUUGCAUCAAACACACCUGCCCUUUUACAAGAGUAAAUAGCGUCUCCAAUUUUUCUAUGUUGUGUAUUAUGUCCAUUGUAUUAGUUUAGGUUUUAUUUUAGAA